Molecule: long non-coding RNA, 319 nt
Organism: Spea bombifrons (plains spadefoot toad)
Lineage: Eukaryota; Metazoa; Chordata; Amphibia; Anura; Pelobatidae
Exons: 3
Source: RefSeq, a predicted model, not a curated record
GCGAUGUGUCAACUGACGAAGACCCUCUUUUACAGCAAGAUCUUGGUGACCAAAGCAGAAUAAACGUAAUAAGGAAUAUUAAUACCUACGCAAGGACCAAGACUUUAGCUCAAGGUUUUCUGGACAUGGCUCUCUUCACCGCAAACGCCUCACAAAUGAAACAUCUUCUGGAGCAGGGAACCGACACGCCGUUUUACUAUUUCCUUUUCACUCUGCUGUGCAUUUCAGUGAUCCUGCAGCUAAUAGUGGCAGCGCUGCUGAUCUACAAGGGGUCCAAGAACAUAGAGUGUGAUGAUCCGGAGCGCAAGCUUAGCGACAG